AUGAAGACGGCCCGUCAUCGCUGAACAAUGAUAGAAAAAUCUGGGUGCUGA
This 51-nucleotide small nucleolar RNA is filed under the name Pyrobaculum oguniense TE7. Its description in RNAcentral is "POGsR106". Lineage: Archaea; Thermoproteati; Thermoproteota; Thermoprotei; Thermoproteales; Thermoproteaceae. The record is from RNAcentral.